GUCGGGGUGGCAGAGCUCGGUAAUUGCAAAAGGCCUAAGCCCUUUCCACAGAGGCUCAAAUCCUCUCCCCAACU
This 74-nucleotide transfer RNA is filed under the name Chilomycterus reticulatus (spotfin burrfish). Its description in RNAcentral is "tRNA-Leu". It matches the Rfam family "tRNA". Rfam says of the family: Transfer RNA (tRNA) molecules are approximately 80 nucleotides in length. The record is from RNAcentral. Lineage: Eukaryota; Metazoa; Chordata; Actinopteri; Tetraodontiformes; Diodontidae.